Candidatus Kuenenbacteria bacterium CG1_02_38_13 is the source of this 1500-nucleotide non-coding RNA. Lineage: Bacteria; Candidatus Kueneniibacteriota. The record is from Rfam.
UUAACUAAGAGUUUGAUCCUGGCUCAGGAUGAACGCUGGCGGCGUGUCUUAGGCAUGCAAGUCGAAUGUCAAUUUUUUAAAUUGGCAUGGCGAACGGGUGAGUAACACAUUGGUAACCUACCCCAAUCACGGGCAUAACCUAUCGAAAGAUUGGAUAAUUCCCGAUGGUCUCCCAGAUGUAAAAUCAUGGGAGUAAAGGUAUAGUUUAUUCUGUACCGGAUUGAGAGGGGCCUAUGUCUGAUUAGCUUGUUGGUGGGGUAAUGGCCCACCAAGGCGACAAUCAGUAGCGGGGAUGGAAGUCUGAUCCGCCUCACUGGGACUGAGAUACUGCCCAGACUCCUACGGGAGGCUGCAGUCGAGAAUCUUCCUCAAUGGCCGCAAGGCUGAAGGAGCGACGCCGCGUGCUUGAAGAAGCCCCUCGGGGUGUAAAGAGCUUUUCUCUGGGAAGAAACUUCGGUUGACGGUACCAGAGGAAUAAGGACCUCCUAAUUUCGUGCCAGCAGGAGCGGUAAUACGAAAGGUCCAAGCGUUAUCCGGAUUUAUUGGGCGUAAAGCGUCCGCAGGCCGUAGAAUAAGUUUUUGGUUAAAUUCUCCGACUCAAUCGGAGAGCUGCUAAAAAAACUGUUCUGCUAGAGGGUGGGAGAGGCGAGUGGAAUGGCUGGUGUAGGAGUCAAAUCCGUUAAUAUCAGCCAGAACACCAAAUGCGAAGGCAGCUCGCUAGAACACUCCUGACGCUCAUGGACGAAAGCUAGGGGAGAGAAGCGGAUUAGAUACCCGCGUAUUCCUAGCCGUAAACGAUGGAUACUUGACAUUGGUAGUUUCGACCCUAUCAGUGUCGUUCUAAAUAAGCUAACGCCUUAAGUAUCCCGCCUGGGUAGUACGAGCGCAAGCUUAAAACUCAAAGGAAUAGACGGGGGCCCGCACAAGCGGUGGAGCAUGUGGUUUAAUUCGAUAAUAAGCGAGGAACCUUACCAGGACUUGACAUCCGGCCUAUACUUGACCUUAAUCGGACAAGUUUAACGGCCGUGACAGGUGCUGCAUGGUUGUCGUCAGCAUGUGCUGUGAAGUGCACCGUUAAUUCGGGUAACAUGCGCAACCCUCAUCCUGAUUUAUUUUUCAUCAGGAAACUGCCUCCGACAAGGAGGAGGAAGGCGGGGAUGACGUCAAAUCAGCAUGGUCCUUACGUCCUGGGCUACACACGUGCUACAAUGGCCAUUACAAUGAGUUGCCAAGCCGCAAGGCGGAGCUAAUCUCAUCAAAAGUGGCCUCAGUUCAGAUUGAGGUCUGCAAUUCGACCUCAUGAAGUCGGAAUCGCUAGUAAACGCGGAUCAGCCUCGCCGCGUUGAAUACGUUCUCGGGCCUUGUACUCACCGCCCGUCACGUCAAGGGAGCCGGUAGUACCCAAACUCCCCCGAUCGGGGGGGAAAGGUAAGAUUGGUAACAGGGACGAAGUCGUAACAAGGCAUCCGUAGCGGAAGCUGUGGAUGGAUCACCUCCUUU